GCGAGAGUGGCGAAAUUGGAAAACGCACUGGACUUAGGAUCCAGGGGCUUUAUACCUUGCGGGUUCGAGUCCCGCCUCUCGCACCA
RNAcentral lists this transfer RNA (86 nucleotides) under Deltaproteobacteria bacterium. RNAcentral's name for it is "tRNA-Leu". It matches the Rfam family "tRNA". Rfam says of the family: Transfer RNA (tRNA) molecules are approximately 80 nucleotides in length. Lineage: Bacteria; Pseudomonadati; Myxococcota; Myxococcia. RNAcentral also lists the same sequence under 1 other name. The record is from RNAcentral.